Long non-coding RNA from Pezoporus flaviventris, 765 nucleotides. RefSeq lists it as uncharacterized. Lineage: Eukaryota; Metazoa; Chordata; Aves; Psittaciformes; Psittacidae. The record is from RefSeq and is a predicted model, not a curated record. The transcript is spliced from 3 exons.
CUAUAGACCUAAACUUCUCUUAGUUCCAGUUCUUAAGUAUGUUGGUUCCAGCAUUAAAACAGCAGCUGGUAACUUAUCCGCUUUCUCCAUCAAGACCUGUACUGCAGUCCAGUGAAUAUGUUUGGAUUAUCUGGAGCAAGAAAAUGGGGCUGGGAAAAGGUGUCACUUCAGAGGAGGAAAAGAAACUAAAAAGAUUGGGGAAGAAGAAGAAAAGGGAAGAAUCAGAGGAAACAUGGAAAACGAGCAUCAGAAAAUCACAGAUGACUGAAAAUGCUAUUCAUGGGAGCUGGUCUUAAAUCAGGAUGUUUCUGCUCUCCUCUGACCUGUGUUAUGUGUCCGACAAAGCAUCAUUCAUGUGUCCUGAUUAGCCAUGGAAUUAGAGCGCUGCUUCUACUUCUGCAGCUAUUGACUGGACCGCUCAGCAACCAGUACGGAAAGAAACCAUCAGCAGUAUAUAUGGAACAGCAGACAAAUCCACUGAUGAUGGGAAAUUCCCAGAUGCUGAAUGCAUCUGUGUAGACAUGUACACAAUAAGUAAAACGUUCUCAGUCUUUAGCAAAAUACUCCACCUCUUUGGAGUUACUUAAAUGCUAAAUCUACUACAGCCAAGAGCUGUGCGCUGCAUCUGGGUGUGCAAUAUGGAUCAAACUCUCCAGUAAGACCGACAGUGUUAUUUAUGCUAUGAUCAGGACACUUCUUUCCCUAGUCAAUCCUUGUGAAGUUGUUGAAGGUUAGGACUAGAACAAAGUCUGUCUUUUCAUUGAC